This is a long non-coding RNA of Pleuronectes platessa (European plaice), 373 nucleotides long. RefSeq lists it as uncharacterized. The transcript is spliced from 3 exons. Lineage: Eukaryota; Metazoa; Chordata; Actinopteri; Pleuronectiformes; Pleuronectidae. The record is from RefSeq and is a predicted model, not a curated record.
GGAGGAUGAUGAAGAAACCUUAUCAGCUGCCACAGAGAGGGAAGAUGCAGAGAGGCCUGCUGAAAGCCAUGCUGGAAAUUACAAUGGGGAAGAAGGUCCAUCAACCUCCACAGCACAGCUUACCUCAGUAAGAUGUUGUUCAGCAUUGACCCACAACUUACAAUGACACUAAAUAGACAUGGCACUGAAAUUCAAUGUCAUUUAUGUUCCUAUAGCUCCCUGUGAAACAACUUUACAAGGUAUAUUUAGAAUCUCAAAUAAACAAAUCACACCUAGAAAUGGAGCACAUAAGGCUGCAGAUCACCAAAACAGAAAAGGAAAUACAACUGCUGGACCAUCAGUUAAAGGAAAUAAAGAAGACCUCAUAAAAUGA